GAUUUGACCCUUCAAAAUUAAGAUUUGUUGAGGCAGUCCGUGUUUUUCAUUUAAUGUCGCACAAAACAUGGGAACACAAAAUGCAAGUUUAUAGGAGAUGGGGUUUUUCUGAAGAUGAGAUCUGGUUGAUUUUCAGAAAGUGUCCCACAUGUAUGGCAAUGUCUGAGAAAAAGGUCAUGGCUACAAUGGAUUUUCUUGUGUGCAAGAUGGGUUGGCAGCCUGCUGCUGUUGCCAGAGUUCCAGUGAUUCUUUGCCUUAGUUUGGAGGAGAAGAGGGUUAAGCCUAGAUGUUCUGUUGUAAGAGUUUUGCUUUCGAAGGGUUUGAUUAAGGCAGAUAUCCAUUUAUCCUCAGUGUUGCAACCUUCUGAA
RNAcentral lists this unclassified non-coding RNA (368 nucleotides) under Hevea brasiliensis (rubber tree). The record is from RNAcentral. Lineage: Eukaryota; Viridiplantae; Streptophyta; Magnoliopsida; Malpighiales; Euphorbiaceae.